Molecule: small RNA, 109 nt
Filed under: Rhizobium sp. Kim5
Lineage: Bacteria; Pseudomonadati; Pseudomonadota; Alphaproteobacteria; Hyphomicrobiales; Rhizobiaceae
Description: miscellaneous other RNA
Source: RNAcentral
GCACGUCCCCUCUCCCCGUUUUUACGGGGACAGGGUGAGGGGCAGCCAUCGGCACGAAUCUGCCCAAUUCCAAUUAUUGACUGCAUUGCAAUUUAUAAUUAAAUGCAUA